RNAcentral lists this ribosomal RNA (461 nucleotides) under uncultured bacterium. Its description in RNAcentral is "partial 16S ribosomal RNA". It matches the Rfam family "Bacterial small subunit ribosomal RNA", at positions 28 to 506 of the family's 1533-position model. The record is from RNAcentral.
GACGAACGCUGGCGGCGUGCUUAACACAUGCAAGUCGAACGGUGAAGCCCUUCGGGGUGGAUCAGUGGCGAACGGGUGGGUAACACGUGAGCAACCUGCCCCUGGCUCUGGGACAACCACUGGAAACGGUGGCUAAUACCGGAUACGACCCGCCUCGGCAUCGAGUGUGGGUGGAAAGUUUUUCGGCUGGGGAUGGGCUCGCGGCCUAUCAGCUUGUUGGUGAGGUGAAGGCUCACCAAGGCGACGACGGGUAGCCGGCCUGAGAGGGCGACCGGCCACACUGGGACUGAGACACGGCCCAGACUCCUACGGGAGGCAGCAGUGGGGAAUAUUGCACAAUGGGCGAAAGCCUGAUGCAGCGACGCCGCGUGAGGGAUGACGGCCUUCGGGUUGUAAACCUCUUUCAGCUCCGAAGAAGCGAAAGUGACGGUAGGAGCAGAAGAAGCACCGGCUAACUACGU